RNAcentral lists this ribosomal RNA (451 nucleotides) under uncultured bacterium. RNAcentral's name for it is "bacterial SSU rRNA". It matches the Rfam family "Bacterial small subunit ribosomal RNA", at positions 329 to 794 of the family's 1533-position model. The record is from RNAcentral.
GGCCAGACUCCUACGGGAGGCAGCAGUGGGGAAUAUUGGGCAAUGGGCGCAAGCCUGACCCAGCAACGCCGCGUGAAGGAAGAAGGCUUUCGGGUUGUAAACUUCUUUUCUCAGGGACGAAGCAAGUGACGGUACCUGAGGAAUAAGCCACGGCUAACUACGUGCCAGCAGCCGCGGUAAUACGUAGGUGGCAAGCGUUAUCCGGAUUUACUGGGUGUAAAGGGCGUGUAGGCGGAUGUGCAAGUCAGUCGUGAGAUACCGGGGCUCAACCCCGGGGCUGCGAUUGAAACUGCACACCUUGAGCAUCGGAGAGGAAAGCGGAAUUCCUAGUGUAGCGGUGAAAUGCGUAGAUAUUAGGAGGAACACCAGUGGCGAAGGCGGCUUUCUGGACGACAACUGACGCUGAGGCGCGAAAGUGUGGGGAGCAAACAGGAUUAGAUACCCCAGUAAC